This 301-nucleotide ribosomal RNA is filed under the name uncultured bacterium. RNAcentral describes it as "partial 16S ribosomal RNA". It matches the Rfam family "Bacterial small subunit ribosomal RNA", at positions 509 to 809 of the family's 1533-position model. The record is from RNAcentral.
CAGCCGCCGCGGGAAUACAGAGGGUGCAAGCGUUAAUCGGAAUUACUGGGCGUAAAGCGCGCGUAGGUGGUUUGUUAAGUUGGAUGUGAAAUCCCCGGGCUCAACCUGGGAACUGCAUCCAAAACUGGCAAGCUAGAGUAUGGUAGAGGGUGGUGGAAUUUCCUGUGUAGCGGUGAAAUGCGUAGAUAUAGGAAGGAACACCAGUGGCGAAGGCGACCACAUGGACUGAUACUGACACUGAGGUGCGAAAGCGUGGGGAGCAAACAGGAUUAGAUACCCCAGUAGUCCCUGUCUCUUAUAA